RNAcentral lists this unclassified non-coding RNA (345 nucleotides) under soil metagenome. RNAcentral describes it as "partial contains 5.8S ribosomal RNA, internal transcribed spacer 2, and large subunit ribosomal RNA". The stretch from base 1 to 120 matches the Rfam family "5.8S ribosomal RNA", at positions 35 to 154 of the family's 154-position model. The record is from RNAcentral.
GAUGAAGAACGCAGCGAAAUGCGAUACGUAAUGUGAAUUGCAGAAUUCAGUGAAUCAUCGAGUCUUUGAACGCACAUUGCGCCCCCUGGUAUUCCGGGGGGCAUGCCUGUCCGAGCGUCAUUGCUGCCCUCAAGCACGGCUUGUGUGUUGGGCCUCCGUCCUCCUCCCGGGGGACGGGCCCGAAAGGCAGCGGCGGCACCGCGUCCGGUCCUCGAGCGUAUGGGGCUUCGUCACCCGCUCUUGUAGGCCCGGCCGGCGCUUGCCGACACAUCAAUCUUUUUUCCAGGUUGACCUCGGAUCAGGUAGGGAUACCCGCUGAACUUAAGCAUAGCAAUAAGCGGAGGA